UUGCUUCAGCAGCACAUAUACUAAAAUUGGAAUGAUACGGAGAUUGGCAUGGCCCCUGCAUAAGGCAAGAGCCUGUUGAAAGAACAACUUAAUGCUACUAUU
Panthera leo (lion) is the source of this 102-nucleotide small nuclear RNA. NCBI's taxonomy places the organism in Eukaryota, Metazoa, Chordata, Mammalia, Carnivora, Felidae. The record is from Ensembl.